CUUGCUUCUCUUGAGAGCGGCGGACGGGUGAGUAAUGCCUAGGAAUCUGCCUGGUAGUGGGGGAUAACGUCCGGAAACGGACGCUAAUACCGCAUACGUCCUACGGGAGAAAGCAGGGGACCUUCGGGCCUUGCGCUAUCAGAUGAGCCUAGGUCGGAUUAGCUAGUUGGUGGGGUAAUGGCUCACCAAGGCGACGAUCCGUAACUGGUCUGAGAGGAUGAUCAGUCACACUGGAACUGAGACACGGUCCAGACUCCUACGGGAGGCAGCAGUGGGGAAUAUUGGACAAUGGGCGAAAGCCUGAUCCAGCCAUGCCGCGUGUGUGAAGAAGGUCUUCGGAUUGUAAAGCACUUUAAGUUGGGAGGAAGGGCAGUAAAUUAAUACUUUGCUGUUUUGACGUUACCGACAGAAUAAGCACCGGCUAACUCUGUGCCAGCAGCCGCGGUAAUACAGAGGGUGCAAGCGUUAAUCGGAAUUACUGGGCGUAAAGCGCGCGUAGGUGGUUCGUUAAGUUGGAUGUGAAAUCCCCGGGCUCAACCUGGGAACUGCAUUCAAAACUGACGAGCUAGAGUAUGGUAGAGGGUGGUGGAAUUUCCUGUGUAGCGGUGAAAUGCGUAGAUAUAGGAAGGAACACCAGUGGCGAAGGCGACCACCUGGACUGAUACUGACACUG
Molecule: ribosomal RNA, 673 nt
Filed under: uncultured bacterium
Lineage: Bacteria
Description: bacterial SSU rRNA
Rfam family: Bacterial small subunit ribosomal RNA
Source: RNAcentral